This 465-nucleotide ribosomal RNA is filed under the name uncultured bacterium. RNAcentral's name for it is "bacterial SSU rRNA". It matches the Rfam family "Bacterial small subunit ribosomal RNA", at positions 338 to 795 of the family's 1533-position model. The record is from RNAcentral.
CCUACGGGUGGCAGCAGUAGGGAAUCUUCCACAAUGGACGCAAGUCUGAUGGAGCAACGCCGCGUGAGUGAAGAAGGUUUUCGGAUCGUAAAGCUCUGUUGUUGGUGAAGAAGGAUAGAGGUAGUAACUGGCCUUUAUUUGACGGUAAUCAACCAGAAAGUCACGGCUAACUACGUGCCAGCAGCCGCGGUAAUACGUAGGUGGCAAGCGUUGUCCGGAUUUAUUGGGCGUAAAGCGAGCGCAGGCGGAAGAAUAAGUCUGAUGUGAAAGCCCUCGGCUUAACCGAGGAACUGCAUCGGAAACUGUUUUUCUUGAGUGCAGAAGAGGAGAGUGGAACUCCAUGUGUAGCGGUGGAAUGCGUAGAUAUAUGGAAGAACACCAGUGGCGAAGGCGGCUCUCUGGUCUGCAACUGACGCUGAGGCUCGAAAGCAUGGGUAGCGAACAGGAUUAGAUACCCCUGUAGUC